GAUUAGUUGUAUUGUUGACUGUGCAAAUGUGCUAGUCUGCAAUAAUUGUUAAAUUAACUUAAUCUACAGUCAUGUUUUGUGAGAUUAUUGGUUCGUCUGGCUAGUGCAGUUUUGGCUUUACUCUCUCAAUAAUGCACGUUAUUGUCUAUCGCCAAAGCCUGAAUAACAUAAAUUUGUAGCUGCUGUCCUGAUUAAGCUUGUCUUUUGUCAGAAUCUGCUUCAUAGCAUGAUUUUGACAGAGGAAGAGGAUGAGCAAGACAGACUGAGGGAGAGGAAGAACGACAGUAUAGCAGGAUUAGAAUCAAGGGACUGCUUCGCCAGCAGGGUGGUGUGAGGUGAAAAUAAGGGAAGGAGAAUUUCAUUUGCAUACCCAGCAUGUCACCCGGACCUUUCCGGAGAGCUGCGCCUAUCCACCGCCGAGCUUGGCAAAUUCAGAGCCUCAUUUGUUUUGGACUCCUCCAAAUAGCUUGGUUCUUCUGGGAUGUGUGUGAUCUCUGGAGAAGACCUAGAUACAAGAAACAAAGAACUCCUCUGCCUGAAGGAUCCAAGUCAAACCAAUCUGUUACAAGUAACAUUUCAUUAUCUCUUCAGAUACAAACCACAAGGUCCCGCAAAUAGAGGCCUAUUUUUCCGGCUCUGCUAAUAGAAUUGAAUUUCACAGAGUGUAACUUAAAUUAGACAUUCCAUAGCAGCCCUGAAUGGCAGAAAUAAUCGGCAUGGGUGACUAAUUUGGCAGAGCGUGUGCUAAGUACACAAAUCCCCUUUUUUCCACCCCUCGCCCGAGGUUUGCGAAGAGCGGCGCACAACCCACAGACAAAGGCAACACGCGGCUCAUAAAAAUUAACAUAGUAAAUGACCUGGAGAGGAAGGCACAAUAAAUAAUCUGAUCUUAUCA
Cyprinus carpio (common carp) is the source of this 895-nucleotide long non-coding RNA. NCBI's taxonomy places the organism in Eukaryota, Metazoa, Chordata, Actinopteri, Cypriniformes, Cyprinidae. The record is from Ensembl.